Molecule: long non-coding RNA, 349 nt
Organism: Labeo rohita (rohu)
Lineage: Eukaryota; Metazoa; Chordata; Actinopteri; Cypriniformes; Cyprinidae
Exons: 3
Source: RefSeq, a predicted model, not a curated record
CAUAUCCAGUUCAAGUGUAGGGCCACAGCCCCUGGUGCACACCUGGUGUCAGUGCAUAGUAAAAAGCAUAAUGAUUACUUGCUCUGCAUGGUGCAAAAAUUCAACCCAAACAACCUGCGCUUCUGGCUUGGAGCCUUUGAAUUAUUUAAGUCUGGUACAUUUCUUUGGACUAAUGGAUCCUUUUAGGAUUUUCAAAUUUGGACACGUGGUGAGCCCAACCACAUGUACACUAGCACAGAGGAAUGUGUGGAGAUGAACUGGAAAGAGACUGGCAAAUGGAAUGACGCCUCUUGUCAUGUUAAGAAAAGCUACAUAUGUGCCUUCAAGUGGGAUGCUGUCUUGAAACGAG